Long non-coding RNA from Sphaerodactylus townsendi, 184 nucleotides. RefSeq lists it as uncharacterized. The record is from RefSeq and is a predicted model, not a curated record. The transcript is spliced from 3 exons. Lineage: Eukaryota; Metazoa; Chordata; Lepidosauria; Squamata; Sphaerodactylidae.
AGGAGCGGGUCUGUCCACGCUGUAAAAACCAGGUGGAGACUCUUGCUCGCAUUAUACUUGACUAUCCGAGAUAUGUGGGGAUUAGGAAUUUCUCUCCUGGGCGGGUCUUAGACAAAUCUGAAAGAGACUCUGACAGCUCUGUUGUGGAGCUUUUGUUAAAUAACACAGAGGCCGUGCUCUUGGA